CAGUAGCCGCGGUAAUACGUAGGGUGCAAGCGUUAAUCGGAAUUACUGGGCGUAAAGCGUGCGCAGGCGGUUAUAUAAGACAGAUGUGAAAUCCCCGGGCUCAACCUGGGAACUGCAUUUGUGACUGUAUAGCUAGAGUACGGCAGAGGGGGAUGGAAUUCCGCGUGUAGCAGUGAAAUGCGUAGUUAUGCGGAGGAACACCGAUGGCGAAGGCAAUCCCUUGGGCCUGUACUGACGCUCAUGCACGAAAGCGUGGGGAGCAAACAGGAUUAGAUACCCGGGUAGUCCCUGUCUCUUAUAC
RNAcentral lists this ribosomal RNA (301 nucleotides) under uncultured bacterium. RNAcentral describes it as "partial 16S ribosomal RNA". It matches the Rfam family "Bacterial small subunit ribosomal RNA", at positions 509 to 807 of the family's 1533-position model. The record is from RNAcentral.